Molecule: long non-coding RNA, 1796 nt
Organism: Carassius auratus (goldfish)
Lineage: Eukaryota; Metazoa; Chordata; Actinopteri; Cypriniformes; Cyprinidae
Source: Ensembl
UAUAAGACGACAAUUUAUACUGCUUCCAACAAAUGGGCGAAGCACUUGCGUAAAGAUUUGGGUUUGCGAACAACAUCCUCGACAAUAAACAAGAACAAUAACAGGGAAACACCCAUCAGGGAUAUCACAAAUCUUUUUGUGAAAUCGACAGGAAUUCUUGCAGAGGAGCUGAGGUCUUUGAGCAGGACGCUGUCAGGUAAUUCUGAAAUGUCUUUCAACAAGUGUGUUUGGAUUGAGGGGCCUCGAUAGUUUUGCAAAAUCUGGGAUCAAUUUUGAUCUAGGCCUGCUCAGAGAGAAUAACAUGUUCAAUAUUUUCAUGCUGUAGACAUAAAGUGGAGAGACUCUGUUAUACGUCUGUGUGUCUGUUAAAAUACUUCUGUGCGAUUCACAGAGGAAAAUGGUUGCUCAGGUGCGGCUUUUUAAUAACUCAAGUGGAUUAUUGGAAAUCAGUUUCGACUAUGUGCCAAAUUAGUAUUACAUUUGUAAAUGUAUUGAGCUAAAAAAACUAUUUAACUAAACGUCACUUUUGAUUGGAGAAUUUAGUGUCUUGAUCAAUAUGAGCAGAGUUUGAAACAUUGUCGAGAUGUGUCUAUUUUUUUAAUGUUGAAGCUCAGUUUAUUAAGUAAAGGGUAAUAUUUACAGUAUUACAGUAAGUAAUGGUUUACUUACAGUAUCAACUUUCUUUGUUGGCUGAUUCCCCUGAAAAGAGUAAACAGUCUGUGGUGCCAUCCAAACAUUGCUCUGUUUGAAACCUAUAGGCUCACUGGAAAUGCAUGCCUCUACCAACAUUUCAGAAAAACUCCAAAACAUACAUAUCUACUGCAGCUUCCAGCUGAAAUUAACAUUAGGGGCUUUAAAAUGAAAUACCAACAACAUUUAUUAGAUUGCUUGUAAAUGAAUACAUUUUGAAGAAAGCAUUUAUGAUAUAGUAAACGUGCUCAGCAGCUCACCUGGUACAGCGCUUGGUAUGCAUCCUGUGAAACACAAAUCAUGAUAAAAGAGCGCAAAGACUUGCAGAAACAAGCUAAAAUGGCAUGGUUGCUUCAGCAAAUGCUUCUUUAUCUCACGAUUGCAUUGGUUAGCACUCUUGGUUAGGGUUUAGAGUAGGUGCUGCUAAGUAAUUUUCAAAUGUGAGCAUUUAACUUAUAGUCCAUUCACUUAUUUUUCUAAAAUUUUACAAAUACAUCCAACAACCAACGUUAUGAAAUCAUGCAGGAUUCACGUUCAACUGAUUUGCAAAUGAAAGCACUUUUAAUGUGACUUGAUAAACACUUGACUUUAGAAUUCCAGAAGUGACUUUAGAAGUGUCGGAAAACGUGCAAGGAGAACACAUUUUAUGAAGAGCUUAUUUGCAAAAACAGAUAUAAAAUAUGAUUCAUAAAUCAUGUUUUUUAUUGUGUUUUGUGUUAGCCGUUUUUUUUUUGUUAUUAUUAUUUCAUCAAAACAACCCAACUGCAGUUUGAUUGAUAUUAUUUGGAAGGCAGGAUAAAGAAAACAUGAUUACAUUAAAUCAUUAAAAACAUUAAAAAACAACACAAAAGUUACAAAUUUUUGCACAUUAACUCAUAUCAUUUUGCAGAAAUAUCGCCUCAGGUCUCUAAUGAGCCUAGGUUAUAUAUUUGCUUGUUCAUCCCAAUCUGCCCAACACAGCAGCAUUGGCUCAACCAAUGGUGUGACAGUGGGGCGGGGCUAACUGUUUAACCGACCAAUAUCAAGAGGGGGAGUCAACUUCAACUAAGGAAAAAUCUCCAUUUGGUCUCCAUUUGCUCUCAUUAAUCUUACAAUCGAAAAUCUUA